This 253-nucleotide ribosomal RNA is filed under the name uncultured bacterium. RNAcentral describes it as "partial 16S ribosomal RNA". It matches the Rfam family "Bacterial small subunit ribosomal RNA", at positions 524 to 776 of the family's 1533-position model. The record is from RNAcentral.
UACAGAGGGUGCAAGCGUUAAUCGGAAUUACUGGGCGUAAAGCGUGCGUAGACGGUAGCGUAAGUCGGGUGUGAAAGCCCCGGGCUCAACCUGGGAAUGGCAUUCGAGACUGCUCUGCUAGGGUGCGGAAGAGGGGAGCGGAAUUUCCGGUGUAGCGGUGAAAUGCGUAGAUAUCGGAAGGAACACCAGUGGCGAAAGCGGCUUCCUGGUCCAGCACCGACGUCAGGCACGAAAGCGUGGGGGAGCAAACAGG